This 447-nucleotide ribosomal RNA is filed under the name uncultured bacterium. Its description in RNAcentral is "bacterial SSU rRNA". It matches the Rfam family "Bacterial small subunit ribosomal RNA", at positions 355 to 825 of the family's 1533-position model. The record is from RNAcentral.
UCGGGAAUUUUGGGCAAUGGGCGCAAGCCUGAUCCAGCCAUGCCGCGUGAGUGACGAAGGUCUUCGGAUUGUAAAGCUCUUUUAGCAGGGAAGAUAAUGACGGUACCUGCAGAAUAAGCCCCGGCUAACUUCGUGCCAGCAGCCGCGGUAAUACGAAGGGGGCUAGCGUUGUUCGGAAUUACUGGGCGUAAAGCGCACGUAGGCGGAUUGAUAAGUUAGAGGUGAAAUCCCGGGGCUCAACCUCGGAACUGCCUUUGAUACUGUUAGUCUCGAGUCCGAUAGAGGUGAGUGGAAUUCCUAGUGUAGAGGUGAAAUUCGUAGAUAUUAGGAAGAACACCAGUGGCGAAGGCGGCUCACUGGAUCGGUACUGACGCUGAGGUGCGAAAGCGUGGGGAGCAAACAGGAUUAGAUACCCCAGUAGUCCCUGAGCGGGCUGGCAAGGCGCAU